CUUGGACAUUGGAGCAAGGAGGGAAAGGAAGAGAAAUUCAAGCCCUCCCCCCCUUCCCUUCGAUACCCUUCUACUCCUGGUCCUUUAAGCUGAAGGAGCUGUAGAAGUGCUCUAGAAGUCAUUCGUGUAUGGAAAAGCGUUCCUGCUUUCUGCUAUCCCUUGAUUUUGCACGUACCCUGCACAGGCAGGUGCUCACCGCGAGGUUGGAGAUGUUCUUGGUGAGAAGGGGAGACACGUGUGAAUGUGCUGAGGACAGGGGUGCAAAGCAGAUUUUUAUAACACAGAGCUACCUCACAAUAAUACCUAACUUAAAAAUGGGACCUAUUCAAAAGUGCUGGAGCUUCUUAAAAGGAAAUUAAAAGCAGCUGCUAUAAGGAUGCAGAAGAUGAGAAACUAGAUAAAACCACCCUAUCUGAAGCUCAGAGCAAUAUAUCACUAAGUGAAAUAAUUCUACAAGGGACCAAAAAGGCAAUAUUCUAACAGCAGAGUGGGAGAGACUAUUCAAAAUCAGGGAUUUCUGAGCAAAUAAAGAAACUAUUAAAAAAAAAAAAAGAAAAAAA
This 560-nucleotide long non-coding RNA is filed under the name Calidris pugnax (ruff). Its description in RNAcentral is "lncRNA (ENSCPUG00000004230.1)". The record is from RNAcentral. Lineage: Eukaryota; Metazoa; Chordata; Aves; Charadriiformes; Scolopacidae.